RNAcentral lists this ribosomal RNA (497 nucleotides) under uncultured bacterium. RNAcentral describes it as "partial 16S ribosomal RNA". It matches the Rfam family "Bacterial small subunit ribosomal RNA", at positions 28 to 507 of the family's 1533-position model. The record is from RNAcentral.
GAUGAACGCUGGCGGCGUGCCUAGUACAUGCAAGUCGAGCGAACGGGCGAGAAGCUUGCUUCUCUGAUGUUAGCGGCGGACGGGUGAGUAACACGUGGAUAACCUACCUAUAAGACUGGGAUAACUUCGGGAAACCGGAGCUAAUACCGGAUGAUAUUUUGAACCGCAUGGUUCAAAAGUGAAAGACGGUCUUGCUGUCACUUAUAGAUGGAUCCGCGCUGCAUUAGCUAGUUGGUAAGGUAACGGCUUACCAAGGCAACGAUGCAUAGCCGACCUGAGAGGGUGAUCGGCCACACUGGAACUGAGACACGGUCCAGACUCCUACGGGAGGCAGCAGUAGGGAAUCUUCCGCAAUGGGCGAAAGCCUGACGGAGCAACGCCGCGUGAGUGAUGAAGGUCUUCGGAUCGUAAAACUCUGUUAUUAGGGAAGAACAUAUGUGUAAGUAACUGUGCACAUCUUGACGGUACCUAAUCAGAAAGCCACGGCUAACUACGUG